GAUGAACGCUGGCGGCGUGCCUAAUACAUGCAAGUCGAGCGAACAGAUGAGGAGCUUGCUCCUCUGACGUUAGCGGCGGACGGGUGAGUAACACGUGGAUAACCUACCUAUAAGACUGGGAUAACUUCGGGAAACCGGAGCUAAUACCGGAUAAUAUAUUGAACCGCAUGGUUCAAUAGUGAAAGACGGUUUUGCUGUCACUUAUAGAUGGUUCCGCGCCGCAUUAGCUAGUUGGUAAGGUAACGGCUUACCAAGGCAACGAUGCGUAGCCGACCUGAGAGGGUGAUCGGCCACACUGGAACUGAGACACGGUCCAGACUCCUACGGGAGGCAGCAGUAGGGAAUCUUCCGAAAUGGGCGAAAGCUUGACGGAGCAAAGCCGCGUGAGUGAUGAAGGUCUUCGGAUCGUAAAACUCUGUUAUUAGGGAAGAACAAAUGUGUAAGUAACUAUGCACGUCUUGACGGUAACUAAUCAGAAAGCCACGGCUAACUACGUG
This 497-nucleotide ribosomal RNA is filed under the name uncultured bacterium. RNAcentral describes it as "partial 16S ribosomal RNA". It matches the Rfam family "Bacterial small subunit ribosomal RNA", at positions 28 to 507 of the family's 1533-position model. The record is from RNAcentral.